AGAGUUUGAUCCUGGCUCAGGAUGAACGCUAGCGACAGGCUUAACACAUGCAAGUCGAGGGGCAGCACAGGUAGCAAUACCGGGUGGCGACCGGCGCACGGGUGAGUAACGCGUAUGCAACUUACCUAUCAGAGGGGGAUAACCCGGCGAAAGUCGGACUAAUACCGCAUGAAGCAGGGGCCCCGCAUGGGGAUAUUUGCUAAAGAUUCAUCGCUGAUAGAUAGGCAUGCGUUCCAUUAGGCAGUUGGCGGGGUAACGGCCCACCAAACCGACGAUGGAUAGGGGUUCUGAGAGGAAGGUCCCCCACAUUGGUACUGAGACACGGACCAAACUCCUACGGGAGGCAGCAGUGAGGAAUAUUGGUCAAUGGCCGAGAGGCUGAACCAGCCAAGUCGCGUGAGGGAUGAAGGUUCUAUGGAUCGUAAACCUCUUUUAUAAGGGAAUAAAGUGCGGGACGUGUCCCGUUUUGUAUGUACCUUAUGAAUAAGGAUCGGCUAACUCCGUGCCAGCAGCCGCGGUAAUACGGAGGAUCCGAGCGUUAUCCGGAUUUAUUGGGUUUAAAGGGUGCGUAGGCGGCCUUUUAAGUCAGCGGUGAAAGUCUGUGGCUCAACCAUAGAAUUGCCGUUGAAACUGGGGGGCUUGAGUAUGUUUGAGGCAGGCGGAAUGCGUGGUGUAGCGGUGAAAUGCAUAGAUAUCACGCAGAACCCCGAUUGCGAAGGCAGCCUGCCAAGCCAUUACUGACGCUGAUGCACGAAAGCGUGGGGAUCAAACAGGAUUAGAUACCCUGGUAGUCCACGCAGUAAACGAUGAUCACUAGCUGUUUGCGAUACACUGUAAGCGGCACAGCGAAAGCGUUAAGUGAUCCACCUGGGGAGUACGCCGGCAACGGUGAAACUCAAAGGAAUUGACGGGGGCCCGCACAAGCGGAGGAACAUGUGGUUUAAUUCGAUGAUACGCGAGGAACCUUACCCGGGUUUGAACGCAUUCGGACCGAGGUGGAAACACCUUUUCUAGCAAUAGCCGUUUGCGAGGUGCUGCAUGGUUGUCGUCAGCUCGUGCCGUGAGGUGUCGGCUUAAGUGCCAUAACGAGCGCAACCCUUGCCACUAGUUACUAACAGGUAAAGCUGAGGACUCUGGUGGGACUGCCAGCGUAAGCUGCGAGGAAGGCGGGGAUGACGUCAAAUCAGCACGGCCCUUACAUCCGGGGCGACACACGUGUUACAAUGGCGUGGACAAAGGGAAGCCACCUGGCGACAGGGAGCGAAUCCCCAAACCACGUCUCAGUUCGGAUCGGAGUCUGCAACCCGACUCCGUGAAGCUGGAUUCGCUAGUAAUCGCGCAUCAGCCAUGGCGCGGUGAAUACGUUCCCGGGCCUUGUACACACCGCCCGUCAAGCCAUGGGAGCCGGGGGUACCUGAAGUCCGUAACCGCGAGGAUCGGCCUAGGGUAAAACUGGUGACUGGGGCUAAGUCGUAACAAGGUAGCCGUACCGGAAGGUGCGGCUG
This 1505-nucleotide ribosomal RNA is filed under the name Parabacteroides distasonis. Its description in RNAcentral is "bacterial SSU rRNA". It matches the Rfam family "Bacterial small subunit ribosomal RNA". Lineage: Bacteria; Pseudomonadati; Bacteroidota; Bacteroidia; Bacteroidales; Tannerellaceae. RNAcentral also lists the same sequence under 1 other name. The record is from RNAcentral.